RNAcentral lists this unclassified non-coding RNA (240 nucleotides) under Dothideomycetes sp. Its description in RNAcentral is "partial contains 5.8S ribosomal RNA, internal transcribed spacer 2, and large subunit ribosomal RNA". Lineage: Eukaryota; Fungi; Ascomycota; Dothideomycetes. The record is from RNAcentral.
CGCACAUUGCGCCCUUUGGUAUUCCGAAGGGCAUGCCUGUUCGAGCGUCAUUUAAGCCCUCAAGCACCGCUUGAUGUUGGGCGCGGUCCGGUAGGACCCGCCCGGAACUCGUUGGGCGGGACCGUCCGGCUCCAAGCGUAGCAAGAUUUAUCCCUCGCUUCGGAGACCUGGCGGCCCUCGCCCGGGAACCCACCCCCACAGCUUGACCUCGGAUCAGGUAGGGAUACCCGCUGAACUUAA